ACAUUGUGGGUUCAGUGGUAGAAUUCCUGCCUUUCAUGUGGGAAACCUGGGUUCAAUUCCCAGCCAGAGUA
Molecule: transfer RNA, 71 nt
Filed under: Loxodonta africana (African savanna elephant)
Lineage: Eukaryota; Metazoa; Chordata; Mammalia; Proboscidea; Elephantidae
Rfam family: tRNA
About the family: Transfer RNA (tRNA) molecules are approximately 80 nucleotides in length. Their secondary structure includes four short double-helical elements and three loops (D, anti-codon, and T loops). Further hydrogen bonds mediate the characteristic L-shaped molecular structure. tRNAs have two regions of fundamental functional importance: the anti-codon, which is responsible for specific mRNA codon recognition, and the 3' end, to which the tRNAs corresponding amino acid is attached (by aminoacyl-tRNA synthetases). tRNAs cope with the degeneracy of the genetic code in two manners: having more than one tRNA (with a specific anti-codon) for a particular amino acid; and 'wobble' base-pairing, i.e. permitting non-standard base-pairing at the 3rd anti-codon position.
Source: Rfam by way of RNAcentral